UUACUUAACACAAAUUUUAAUUCAUUGUUCAAUGUGGUUUAUAGUAAACUGUAAUCCAAAGAAUGAUAUUAAGAUGGUUCUUUUCUUUUUGUGGGUUUGACGGGUUAACAUUAUAAAUAACUCUACAUCUGACUCCUACAAGUUUAUGUUAUCCAAACAAUUUCAUUCUCACUGUAAUAUUAUUAUUUAUAUUGUUUUCAAAUUGGAGAAAACCAAAAACACAAAAAAAAAAAAAAAGAGGGAAGGUGGAGUAAAUAAAUAAUAAUAAUAAUAAUAAUAAAGAAAGGCAAUUGACGUCCACAUUAAAAUUAAGAUCCGCGGGACCCAUGGAAAUCUAAACAUUGGACCCACUUAUAUUUCUUAAAGAACCAAAUUUUUUUCUUUUAUUUUUAUUUUUCUUUUAAUUUUGGACUUUUCCUCUUUUUUUAUUUUCUUGCAAAAAAACAUAAUUUGCUGUUUCACUCUUUUAGACACCACAGCGUAUCAAAUCUUCGAGAUUGCUUUUGCUUUCUCUUUCCCACCCC
This 524-nucleotide long non-coding RNA is filed under the name Capsella rubella. RNAcentral's name for it is "long non-coding RNA (CRUB_LNC004610)". The record is from RNAcentral. Lineage: Eukaryota; Viridiplantae; Streptophyta; Magnoliopsida; Brassicales; Brassicaceae.